Molecule: long non-coding RNA, 17533 nt
Organism: Loxodonta africana (African savanna elephant)
Lineage: Eukaryota; Metazoa; Chordata; Mammalia; Proboscidea; Elephantidae
Exons: 4
Source: RefSeq, a predicted model, not a curated record
UUACAGUAACUCGCCUAGAUUAACAUCAUUUUGAGAGAGGCAGCAUUCGAAUCCAGGCAGCGCGACCUGAGCCUGCACUCAAAAGCACUCGACUGGGCAAAGAAAUCAGGAAAAUUGGUGAUUUCUCCGAGAGCCCGGGCAACUUCAGGGAACAGUGAUGAGUUGAAGGUACAGAAGGUGCAGAGGAAGUGGCCAAGAGAAGGCUGUAGAAACUGGCAGAGAAGUUUGCCCGUCUCCGAGCUGGAUCACAUAGCCGAAGUCCCGGGAACCGGGCGGAAAAGAGCCUGACAGACAGCUUCCGGAGCACGACCGGACCCUUGGGGAACACAGGCACAUACCGGAAGUGACGUUACCUAACGGACAGUGGGGAGGAAUUCCGACAGGACAAGACGUACAGGAAGUUACGUCAUGGGGCGGUACUUGGCCGUGGAGGGCGUCGCGAUGGGCGGGGCGAGGCUUCAGAGGUCCGCUUGGAGCUUUGGAUCCAGGGCAGGUAACCUGCGGGCUCAGACCUGGACAGGGGCGGUAGCUGGAAUUAGUGGCCUGGGUCGCUCGGGGUCCCAAGCUCGGGCGGGGAGAGGUGGCUGUCACGUUCUGUGGUGGCUGCAGGAAAGAUUCCUUGGCAUGGGACCCUCUGAGGGCAUAGGGAUACGAGGAACUCUUGGGGACGGGGUUAUAGAGCCGAGGUCGUCGGAGAAAUAAGGACAAGCUGAAUCUUCAAGGAGUCGGGACUGGGGGUCAUGGGCUCUCAAGCAUAGGCGCUCGGGGGCGGAGAAACGGGGACUGGAGAUGAGCUGAUCCACCGACCCUCACUGUCACCCCCGCUCUCCUAAGAAGGGCUCUGGGAUUACGUCUGUUCCUCUCUGUCCAUAGGGCAGUGCAACCUUGCCACUGUGAGGAAUUCUGUCUUUAGAUGCCGACGAAUGAAUGAAUGAGUGAGUGAAUGAACAAACUGACCUGAUUCUGGCUCAGCGGGGCAGUUCUCCCAAGGCCCAGUACCCCUCCGCGGGGAGAUGACUACUUUAGCUUUCUAGCCAGUGGUUUCUGAGGUGCCAGUGCAGUAGAGACCCAGGACACUAUUGUUUUUUUGUGGUUACUGCAAUUUAGAAAUGUGUCUUAAUACUUUUUCUGCUGUGUGUGGAGAAGCUAAGACAAUUAAUUUGGCUUCUUUCAUGUUCCUUUACUUUUCUUGGAAGAACUUAGAGGUGAGUAAUACUGGGGACCAGCUGGCCAUCACAUAAGCUGUAGCUGUGGCACUGAGUUUCUCAUUAGCAUUCUGAGUGCUUUCUUUUCAGCAACAGAAACCCACUUUGCUCUUUCUUACUGUUUUCUUUCCUAGAUUGGGAUACUUCUUACAUUUCAGAUGUAAAUGAGAAUUGUUUCAUAACAAAAAUGAAAAUAGUAAUUAAUAAAAAUUCUAUCAGAGGUUUCAUCUGGUGUGUGUUGAUAGGGUCACUAUGAAUCGGAAUCUGCUCAACAGCAGCGGGUUUUGGUGUACACAUAAGGUUAACUCCUGCCAAAUAGUUGUAGGGGGUCUCAGAAUAAAUCUUCGAGAAUUAAAUUGUUUUUCCAUUGUACAGUGUUUAUUUGUUGUGGUUGUUAGGUGCCGUCCAGUCGGUUCUGACUCAUAGAGACCCUGUGUACAACAGAAGGAAACACUGUCCAGUCCUGCGCCAUCCUCACAGUUGUUUUCUGAGCUUGAGCUCAUUGUUGCAGCCCUGUGUCAAGCUAUCUUGUUAAGAAUCUUCCUUUCUUUUCUCUGACCCUCUACUUUACCAAAAUUAUGUCUUUCUCCAGGAACUGGUUCUCCUUAUCAGUAUGUGAGAUGAAGUCUCACCAUCCUCGUUUCUAAGGAGCAUUUCUGGCUGUACUUCCAAGACAGAUUUGUUCAUUCUUCUGGAUUAUUCAGUAUUCUUUGCCAACACCAAAUUCAAAGGCAUCAGUUCUUCUUCGGUCUUCCUUAUUUAUUGUCCAGCUUUUGCAUGCAUGUGAGGAGAUUGAAAAUACCAUGGCUUGGGUCAGGUGCACUUUAGUCCUUAAGGUGGUGUAUUUGCUUUUGAACACUGUAAAGAGGUAUUUGGCAGCAGAUUUGCUCAAUGUGGUAUGUCAUUUGAUUUCUUAACUACUGUUUCCAAGGGCAUUAAUCAUGGAUCCAAGUAAAAUGAAAUUCUUGACAACUUCAAUCUUUUCUCCAUUUAUCAUGAUGUGGCUUAUUGGUCCAGUUGUGAGGAUAUUUGUUUUCUUUAAGUUGAGGCAUAAUCCAUACUGAAGGCUGUGUUCUUUGAUCUUCAUCUUCAAGUUCUCUUCCCUUUAAAAAAGCAAGAUUGUAUGGUCUGCAUAUCCCAGGUUGUUAAUGAGUAUUUAAGUGAUGGACGUGGGUGUAGACCUAAAAAACAAGUACUGUAACCAGAUUGCUUGUGUUCAUCAAGUGGAUAAAAGUGCAGGCAACAAAUCAGGCUGUGCAGUGGGAUCUGGGCAUGCUCAGUAACUGGACGCAGUUCCAGCGAGGUGACUGUGUGUAUGGGCUUCAUGCUGUCUAAAGAGAUAGACUAAAACCUGCGAAAGCCAGAACCUGUGUAAGGUGGAAACCUGUCAGAGAAGGAAAAACGCAAAUAUUUUCCACUAAUAGAGAGCAAUAGAAAAGUGAUAAGACCGCAACCUGCCAAAGGCAGAAAACUUGGACGGAAAAACAAGGCAGUUCCAUCAAGUUCCAGCUCUCACAGGUUUCACUGUAGUAGCUAUUGAGAGGGUCCAAAAUCUUAUCAUUAGAUCAGAUGUAAUGGGGCAGAAAAUCUGAAUUUAUGGCAUAUUUUUCACAAAGAAGAAACUAGUAAGCAUUUUUAGGUUUAAAAUCUUAGAUGUUCUUAACAUAGGUUGAAACUUUCCCCCAAAGUAGACAAGUUUUUAUUUAAAUGACAUGUAGUAUACUAGUGCAUGUCAUUUAAAUAUAAAAAAAAAGGUCGCUAUGAGUUGGAAUCGACUCAAUGGCAGUGGGUUUUUUCACCUUUAAAACUUGCUUCUUCACUUCUGGAAAGUGCUGACAAGUUGGAAGUAAUGUCCAAAUUUACUCCUUCUUUGUGUGCCCUUACUGUGGUGCUGGAGUCCCUGUAUGGUGCAUAUGGUUACUCACUGGACUGUUGGCUAAAAGGUCAGUGGUUCAAACCCACCCAGAGGUGCCUCAGAAGAUAGGCCUGGUGAUCUGCUUCCAAAAGGUCACAGCCCUUAAAAACCCAAUGGAGCCCAGUUCUAUUCUGACACACACAGGGUUGCUAUGAGUCGGAAUCAACUUGAUGGCAACUAACACCACCAGUAUGGUGCCACCUUUCGGAUACAUAUAAAUAUUGUACAAAGAAAAGUUUUGAGAUCCUCUGAAUUUAUGCUCAUGUUAAAAUGUCUUGGGAGCCCUGGUGAUGCAGUGGUUAAGAGCUCAGCCGCUAACCAAAAGGUUGGCAGUUUGAAUCUACCGGCUGUUCCUUGAAAUUCCUGUGGGGCAGCUCUACUCUGUCCUGUAGGGUUGCUGUGAGUCAGAGUCGACUCGACAGCAAUGGACUGAUGUCUUAAAAAUAAAGCCUAGUUUUGCUGCUUCAGUUUGCUGUUCAAUGUCAUAUCCAUUAAGUUUUGCACAUCUAGAUAUCCAUAACUGUUACUUCACGAUGAAGUGGUAUCUAAGCGAUAAUGUAGGCAAAUACGUUGACGUUUUUGAGGUUUUCAGUUUUGCAGAGCACUGGUAUCUGUGGACUCUAACAUGGACUUCAUUUAAAGAAACCUGCGGACCAUUAAAGGACAAAAAUAUGAAUCAGUUUGUAUUGUGGCACUCAUAGCCCUUUGGGAGAGGUAAGUUCUUGACUGUUUUAUGUUAGGUGAGAAGUACAACAGCCCUGGGCUGGCCUAGGAAAUUUAAGAUUAUAACUGAAAAAUAUAGGCCUAAUAUCUUUAAAUUAUGUUUUAAUCAGGACCUCCCAAAGAGAGGUUUGCUUUGUAUAUAUGAAGCAGGUGUUAAUGUUUCCCUGUCAAAUUGAUUAGAAAUGAGUGAGAUUGACUAGGUCCGUUGUUCCUAGAAGCUUACUGCUCUGCCUUCUUUUUGGGGGCAGUCUUUUCAAUACUGUAGAUCACAGUGGAAAUAAAACAACUUAUGGGUACCUUGUAGGAAUAAAGCCUCAGAUAGCCACUUAAAUCAUCUUGUAACCAAAUUUGGUUCUGUAAUUUUAUAUGUCCCAAUUUUUCUGAUCAAUUUCAUUUUAUCCUUAGGUUUAAGAAAGAAAAGAGGCCAACAAAUGUCUUUUUUUUUCCUUCUUUCUUUAUCCUGCCUUAUACAGCCUUUUUUUUUUUUUUUUUAAAAAAAAGGUGAUUUAUUCUCCAAAGCUUUUGUCUUUCUGUCCCAGGGGUUAAAGUUUCUCUUUUUUCCGUUUUACCUUUCCUAAUUUAAAUGUCUUCUCCGUCCCUUAAUUUUCAAAACCUUUACUUCUAACUUUGUGUUAAUGUUUGGUGCCUUUUAAUCACUAAACACUAAACUUACAAUGUUUCCUGGUCUCCUUUGUAGAUACGUUGGCUCCUUGUUUAGAAUUUGCUCAACUCUAAAAGCAGGAGGUACUUCCAGGCAUUCAUCCUUCAGAUAUAUUUGUGUAUGUGCACAAAAAUUUGCAUACAAAGACACGGUUAGCUCCUAGACUGACUGACUAGACGGAAAGGCCUGGCAAUCUAUUUCUGACAGUUAGCCGCAUCGAGUACCAAGUUUUUGAAGACCAUGGCUUACCAUCAUUAGGCAUUCAAGAUGCGAGUCUGAAUAACCCCGUCAAGACUCAGAGCCUCUUCAAAAGCUUCAAGUGUCACCUGCAUUAAAGCUCUCCAUUGAACCCUCCCACAAAAGUAAAAGCUUAAGGGGACUCCAAUCCAUUAAUACAGUCCAUUUUAUAUCCUCUCGUCUGACUUCUCUUCCAUUUCAGGUCAUAAUGCUCUUGUCCCUUUAGACCAGAGCCAAAGAAAUGGUGCUUUGCAAAAAAUGCACGGUCCGUGGCCAUACGUUUUCACCGGUAGAAAAGUAUAAACCCAGCAUGAGAAGUUUAGAAUCAGGUCUUUUGUUGUAUCCCAAGAUAAAUAACUUGAGUCAACAAUGAGAAAAUGAGAAUAAAGAAGUAAAAAUUACUAAGUUUAGGUUAUACUCAGAGGCUGUGUGGUUUAGAGAAAAAGCCCUCAACCUAAAAUUUCUCAGUUCUUAUUUUGUCUCUGCCCUUUACUAGGUAUGUGGUGACUGGGACAGUCACUUACCCUGCCUUAGACCUUAGAUUCGUCAUCUGUAAAGUGAGUCUGAUGAUCUUCUCCCUGCCUGCCUUACAGGGUUGUUGUGAGAUAAAAUGAGACACUGUACAUAAAGAGGACUUUAUCUAAAAUGUGAAAUAGCGACGUAGAUAGGGCCCCAUUCUAUGGUGGCAGGUCAUUUCUCUCAGCCUGUAGGCCUGGAAAGGUAGGUAACAUAAGCGCACUGAAAGCCUGCACUGUGUCCAUGCUGGAAAAUGGCAUGAAGGCUAAGUUCAACUUUUUUCCUCUGGUUUAAAUAGAAUGCUAUUAAGGGAUUAAUUCUAAGAAGGAGUGUGGUUGUAAAUUUCCCUUAAAUUAUAAGCCUCUGGAGCAGUUACAGAGUGGAACACAUUCCUGGUUUGUAAAACCUGUUUACUAAGUCACAACCAGCAGUUUUUUUUUUUUUUUUAAUGAAAAAACAAACAGAAAAUUUUCCAAUGCAUCCCACACGGCGAGAGUAAAUAUUGUUUUAGUUACAUCUGUGUGUGUGUGUUUGUAUUUGUGUCCUUGGUCAUUGAAUAAAAUGCCUUUUUUUCCUGCCAGCUACAACCACUGUCCUAGGAGUGUCCCUUUAGUCCUAAGGCCUUUCUACACCUUUGGGCCCUUAGAUUCGGGGUUUCUUCUCACAUCAUACUACUGCUUGUGACAAAGGCAUUAACAAUAUCAAUUUGACUUUUUUGUCUGACUGAUGAGGUAUUUUUUAUUUCAUAGCACAGAGAAGGUCUGUCGGCCUUAAAUGGGUAUUUUAUUUAAUAUUUUCGUACUGUCUUCUCUGACACCUAGACUUCUAUGGCCUUUAACAAUUCAACCUCACACUAGUAGACAGAUCAUGUUAAAUGUUUUUCUUUGAAAAUUUAAAAAUUUUUUCUCCCUGGCCUAAUGGAACAUGAAAAUCUCCCACUUGGUUUAGCAUUGUUUGAGAACUCAGUGGAGAGAAGCUAUAGAGAGUAUCGUUAGUAUGACUGGGGAUUUGAUGAUCUUUAGAAGAGAAAAUGUCAAUUUUUUUUUUCCCCCUGAAUACCUAAAUUUAUCUUUAGAUGAGUGAUUUAAGACAAACAAGUCACUGCCAUUAACUUGUUCAACUGGCAUUGAAUUAAUUUAUUCAAUUUCGGGAAAACCCUAAAAAAAGAUAUCUCGCCCUUUGGUGAUAGCAUGGUCAGGAAUAGAUGACUUUCACACUCUCCGUGAAUGACGGGGAACGGUUUCUUCCUCCAAGGAGUGUGCAUUCCGAUUCAUUGAUGAGGAACUAACUGCAGGUGCUUUAGUGCACCGAACUGCUGGAUUUAGGGUACUGGGAUUACUCAUGUGGCUUUGAUGGAAGGUUGCGGAAAAUGCUGAUUUUCCCUGCUUACAACUUAUAUAAAUGUAUACAGUCCUAGCACCACGAAUACCCAUCAGAAGAUUUAAAAUGUAGAAUCUAACUGCUUCAUUUCCCCUGAACACUAAUGGCCAGACUUCAUGCCUUAGUGGAGACAGAAUGAGUUGCAUAGAUUGUACAAGUUGAGGUGCUUAUUUGUAUGACAGUUGGCAGCUGUGGCGUAAAGCCUCAUUACUUCUAUGGCCAACUUUGUGUUCUCUCUCGCAAAAAAAUUACAUUUGGCAUUUGCUACCUCUCCGUGUAGAAAGGAGCAUCUACCCAUGACAAAGGUCAAGAAAAGUAAUUAGACAACCUUAGCCAUCCUUGAUCAUUCUUUCCUCAGCCCUCAUACCUAGCCUGUCAUAAAAUUCUGCCUUUUCAACCUCCUAAGUAUCUUUCAAGGAGCCCUGGUUGCUCAGUAGUCAAGAGCCAGGCUGCUUACCAAAAGGCCGGCAGUUCAAAUCCACCAGCUGCUCCUUAGAAACACUAUGGGGCAGUUCUACUUUGUCCUAUAGGGUCGCUAUGAGUCAAAAUCGACUUGAUGGCAAUUCUUUUUUUUUUAAAUGUCUUUCAAAGUAUCCAUCUCUUUCUGUUCUCCUUCCCAUCAUCUUUAUUUGUGCUUCCAUCGUGUUUGCCUGCACUUCUGCUGUACAGGCCUUAUUUUACAUGUGUCUUCAGAGAAGCCUUCCCUUACACCCCACACUAGAUUAGACUUCCUCCCCCAUUAUUUUUUCACAAACCACCCGGUUUUUCUCACACCUAGCAUAUGCGUAAUUAUUUGCAUAAUCGCUUGUUAAUAAUCUUACCCACAAGACUAAAGCUUCGUGAGGGCAGGAACUGGUGUUUGUUUUAUUAACCACUCUAUCUUCAGUGGGGAGCCCUGGUGGCUCAGUGGCUAAGAGCUCAGCUGCUAACCAAAAGCUUGGCAGUUCAAAUCCACCAACUGUCUCUUGGAAACCCUACGGGACAAUUCUCCUCUGUCCUUUAGGGUCACUAUAAGUCGAAAUCGAAGGCAACGGGUUUAGUAUCCACAGUCUUCAGGGAUAUGCCUAGCAGAUAGCAGGGAUUCAGUAAAUACUUUUGGACAGCCACCACUCCGUUCCCUAAGUUAUGUCAGGUGCUGUAAAUUCUUCCAGGUUGUUUAACUUCUCUUCAGAACCCUCCAGUUGCUUCCUGUCUCGCUCCAGGUAUAAGCCAAUGACCUUGUUAUGGUCUCCAGGGCCUAAUAUGAUCUGCGCCUCUCUCCCUUUACCUCUGUCACCAUUUAACAGCCUAUCCAAGCCACCCUGGUCUCCUAGCUGACCUCAGAGAUGCCAAGCUUUCUUUUGCCUUGGGACCUUUGUACUCGAUGAUCCUAGUGCUUGGCUUGUUCUUGACUUAGCUAUCCAUCUGGAUCAAUCCCUCAUAUCCCUCAGUUCCCUCAGGCCAUGAGAUGUCACCUCAGGGAAGCCUUCUUUCUUCACCCUAUUUAAAACUAUAACCUCACGGUCACCCCGUGACAUCACUGUUCCCUUUCUUUUUUCUUUUUCCAUGCCACUGAUCUCUGACUGGAAACCCUGGUGGCGUAAUGGUUAAGAGCUACAGCUGCUAACCAACAGGUCAGCAGUUCGCAUCCACUAGGCGCUCCUUGAAAACUCUGUGGGGCAGUUCUACUCUGUUCUAUAGGGUUGCUAUGAGUCGGAGUCAACUUGACGGCAACAAGUUUUUUUACUCUCUGGGUGACAUGCUGUCUGUGUUUGGUACCCAGAAUGUGCCUUACAUGUGGGAGGUACUGAGAAAAUAUUUAUGAAAUGAAUGGAUUUAACCUGUACUCACAGAGGUGCAUAUUUGGGACAAUGAAUCCUGUAACCCAAAUUAUGGGGCUUAAAAAGCUGAGUUAAUUAAAUUUAUGCCCUGCCUCGUUCUAAAAAAAUAUUUGAGGUGGCUUCUAAAAAUGUAUGUAGUAAAUGGGACAAAGAUCUAUAAAGAGAACAAAACAGAGAACGUGAUGGUAAUUUUAAAAUGCAUAAAGUUAAUGCAUAAAAGGUCCUGCAUAGUGGCCAAAGGCAGGGUGUGAAUUUGACUCCUUGAAGAGCGAAGUUGGUGCUUCAGCAGCGCAUAUACUAGCAUUAGCUUGCUCAGAAAUGGUGACUGGACCGGAAUCAGGAACUUUGUCAUGUGGCACAAGUUACAAACAUUUGAGUCUGGACAAUCUAUUUGAUUUAACUUGAAGAAAUCAUGAGAUUACUCUUCUAGAGAAGACUUGCUUUCUAAUUUAGGAAGAAAUCAUGAGAUUACUCUUCUAGAGAAGACUUGGUUUCCUAUAAAACAUACAUGGUUUCCCCGUUAUGAAGUCUCUGCUGUGUCUGGGAGAGAGCAGUCACGCCUACUAACCUCUGGUUGCGUCCAGGACAUUUCCAAGGUCAAUUCAAACUCAGUCAUUGAAUAUUUGUGAACGUCCACCGGUAAAGGUCCCCAACCAGCACAUUAGUUGCCCUGGUUUCUGAUCAUGAGAUAGCCUCAGAGUCCAGUGUUUGUGGCUCCCUUUUUGAGGUCAACAGUUGGUGACUUAGCAGUAAGCGUUUAUACAAUUAACUGAAUUGAGAUGGAGGAUGGGGAAUUACUUAAGUGAAUUAGACUUCAAAACAUCUUUGAGCAAUAUGGUAACCAACACCGGAGCGCUCUCCUAUGUGUGUGAAGUUAGAGGGGAAAUCAUACAGCACGUAUCUUUUUGUUCACGGUGCAUCUACUUCCCUCAUUCUGUUUUGUCCGGUUUUUGGUCAUUUAAAGCUGAGUCAGAGACUUGGAAUACCUGCAGGCCAGAUACAGAGCAGAGGAUGUGAGGGUGACCUGCUGGACUUUCGGUGAAUUCUACACUACUCCAGUAACACAGCUGGUUCUUCCAGGCAAAGGAUGAGAAUACUUAGCUAAGUGGUGUUCCACUGGCAAAAUAUGCUAACACUUACUUGACUUUUUCUUCUUUUUUUGCUCUUCUCCUGUCUUUGAUAUGGAGAUAAACAGUACUUUUGAAGUCAAAUCUUAUACCCCACCCCAUUUUUCAGGGUUGAAAGAAGGACACUAAACCAACAGUGGACUUUUAGGGAAAUGAUGGAAGCAUGCAUUUUUUUUUUUUUAAAUCAUUACAUUCAUUCUACGUAUUUCCAGGAAAAGAUAUGAGGAUACACAUUAAGAACACAACAGAACUAUUGAAAAGGACAUCAAAGGACAAACUUUGUAAAGGGAAGGUAAUUUUACUGAAAGAAUUAUGUAAAACUUGUUGCUGAUUAAAUGACCCUAUUUGGCUGUGCUUAUCUGAGCCCCUGGGUGUUGCAGAUGGUAACGAAGCACUCAGCUACUAAAGGAGAGUUGGCAGUUUGAACCCACCUAUAGGAGCCUCAGGAGAAAGGCCUACGAUCUUGUGAAAGUCACAGGGUGGAAAACCCUAUGGAGCGGCUCUACUUUGCACACACUUGACGGCAACUGGCUUUUUUGUCUUAAUGUGUAUUGCAGAUUCAUGUAUAGAAUAAAAAGUGAAGCAAAACCAAGGUACAGGUGAUUUAUGAAAUCCACUCGUUUAGAAAUGUUUAACGAUAAGCUUGGAACAUCAUAAUGUAAUAGCAUUUUCUUAUAUAACAUGUAAUUUGUGCCAAAAAAGAGAAAAUUAAGAGCCAUUAAUAAAUAGGUCAAAUGUGAUGUGAUUGAGGUGCGAUGAAUCGCUUUUAUAUGCCUUUCUCUCCAUGGUCUUAUAACUCCCACCCAAGUGACUGGGUGGGCCCAUGCAGAUAAGGUAAUUGUGGCCCACCAAGAGAAUUGGUCAGUUUUACCAUUCUGCUAGGCUUAAAAUGAUCCACCCCAAAGGCAGAAAGAGGGGAUCUCACCACCACUAAGAAAGAAGAGCCAGGAGUGGAGUACAUCCUUUGGACCCAGGAUCCCUGCACUGAGGAGCUCCUGGAACCAAGAGAGUGAGAGUGAGUGCCGAACCACGGAAAAUGGCACAAAGUGGUGGCAGAGAAACAGCAGCUGAACCAGGAGACAGUGCAGUGGGCUUCCUGGACCAUGGAGCAAGAAAGCUGAGUGCCUUCAGGCGGGAGGCUUGCUACCAGAGUAGGGUGCCUCUGUGGAGCUAGGUUUGCAGACCCACAGAGGGCCCACAGGCUGAGGCUUACUGGUGGAGUUGGGUGCCUCUGGGCAGUUAUCAGGAGAGCUAAAAGAGCUUUGUAACCCUUGCCUGAGCAGGGCAGAGGCCAGGCUGAGGGGUCAAGGGGCUUAGGGCCAGAAAGAGACCUGCCUGCAGGCACGGCUAAAAAGAGGCUGUCCUGAUCUAAAAACUAUCCUGAGUGUUCCUGAACCUGAAUUAUAAUGUUACUUCCCAAUAAACCGCAUAACUUUGAGUAUGGUCUGUGAGUUCUGUGUGGCCAUUGCAAUGAAUUACCAAACCCAGCAGAGAAGUAGAGAGUGCUGUGGGAGGGACGGUUGGUGUCAGAAUUGGUAAAGAUGGCAGAGGGAGGAGGUGUGUCUGACCUCUGCCUCAUAGGAAUCAGCCUUGGGCUGUUGAUCUUGAUUUUCCUUCCCACUUGUGAAGUUAGGAGAGGUCAGAUGCCACUGCGCUAUGGUGAUUUUAGAUCAAAAACUAUUUUCAGUUAUAUGAAAAUUAAAAUGUCUUGAAUAUAAAAAAAUGUGCAUAUUAUGGGAAGAGAGUUUUCUUCCAUUUAGGAUGUGGAAAGUCACAAGAGAAUGUAAUGCCCACCGUAACAAUGAGGAAAAAGCCUGGUAAUCUGCAAAAUCAUAAUAUUUCUUGAGCCUAUCAGAGAAUUGAGGUCAUAAGACGACCAAGUGAACUGAAUUUCCUAAAAAGACAGGCCCUUCUGAGGAACAAUAGGACUCAGAGACUGUUCCACCUUUGGCAGAGCAUGAGAGGAAGUGACAGCCACCAUAAAAGUGGAUAAGAAGAAAGCAGCUAACCUUUUACUGAAUUCUUAGAGUAACUGGGAGACCCAGACACAAAGGGAGUCUAUGCUCACUUGCAAGUUCUUUCCUACAUAGCUUUACCAGUGUUCAGAAAAAGAUUGGGAAGGACAAGAAAUUGGAGAGAGCCUUCCUUGAUUAAGUGCUACGACUGCUAACCAAAAGGUCAGCAGUUUGAAUCCACCAGGCACUCCUUGGAAACUCUAUGGGGCAGUUCUACCAUGUCUGUAGAGUCGCUGUGAGUCAGAAUCAAUUCCGUGGCAACAGGUUUGGUUCCUUCAGUGACGCAGUCACAAAAUCCUGCCCACUUUUACCAAACUUUCUCUCAUACGAAGCAAAAACCUUAAGCCGCUGGGAAAGAAAGAAUCCAUCCAUUCCCCCAGGAUCUAAGCAAAAAUCCAUUUGCUUCUAGGGAUGGAGUAGAAGCAAAAGCAGUCAUCCCUGGGGAAGGGGCAGCAGUGACUGCCGCUGCCUUCUACUUAGUGUGGGGCCUGGGGUGCUAGAAGGCUUUUCUCAGUGUCCCCCCACAAAUGUAAGGCACAGUUUGGCUUCCAUGGGGUCACGUGAGGAACAGAAAGCCCCACAUGCCAGGCAUGGGUGCACAGGGCCUGCCUAAAACUAAGACUCUGAUCUAGGAGAACCAAGAACAGUUAGCACUAACAACAGCAGUCUGCCACGGAGGGAGGGGCAAGAAUGUGGAGAGAGAAGCCCCUCUGUGGCACAGGCAUGCUGGACCUGCUGAAAACUGAAGGUGGAGCAGGACUAGUGAGAAAAACCUUCCGCACUCCAGGCUUCACACUAAGGACAAGGUAGCAGCUGUCCACUGCUGGAGGAAGGUACACAGCAACAACAAAACAAACCCAGCUAAACUGACUAGAUCAUCUGUUUUUGGAAUUUCAGUGGACUUGGUAAACUGACAGAAAAGCGGGCAUGCUCAUUUCCAGGAGUAAAUAUCCUUCUCAGUUUCUACUGUUAUUCUAUGUACAACACCUGGAGUUCAAUAAAACAUUACAAAAUAUAAAAAAGCAAGCAAAACAACAACCCCCCCACCCAACAACCCAUUUUCAAGAGAUAAAGCAAUCAACAGAAGCAGACCAAGAGGUGACUCAGAUAAUGGAACUAUCAGAUCGGGACCUUAAUUAUGAUUAAUAUGUUAAAGGUGGACCAUAUGUGUAAACAGAUGGGGAGCUUUAGCAGAGAAAUGUAAACUAUAAAGAGUCAAAUGAAAAUGCUAGAAAUAAAAAAUACAUAUAUUAGAAAGGCUUAUUGACAGACUAGACACAGAUGAGAAAGGAAUAAGUGAACUUGAAGGUGAUAAAUCAGUAGAAAUGAUCCAAAAUGAAAAGCAUGUAUAUAUAUGGCUUAACUUUUCAACUACCUAAAUAUCUCUAUUAAUGGAAAGAAGGGGCCAGCACAUGUCACCACUGCUAGCACUGCCAUUUCUCUUCAUUACUGUGUUCCUUUGUGCUUCUUGCUGCUCUUUGCUUUUUGUGCAGGAAGGCCAUAUCCCACUUGUCAGAAGAAGCCAGACUCUUUUGGUAGAACUUAAGACAACUUUUUUGUUGUUGUUGUUGUUAGGUGCCAUCCAAUUGAUUCCAACUCAUAGUGACUGCGUGUACAACGGAACAAAAUGUUACCCAGUCUUGCACCUUCCUCACAGUCGUUAUGCUUGAGCCCAUUGUUCCAGCCACUGUGUCAGUCUCUCUCAUUGAGGGUCUUCCUCUUUUUCACUGACCCUCUACUUUACCAAGCAUGAUGUCCUCCUCCAGGGACUGAUCCUUCCUGAUAACAUGUCCAAAAUACAUGAAUGAAGUCUUGCCGAUCUUGCUUCUUAAGAGCUUUCUGGCUGUACUUCUUCCAAGACAGAUUUGUUCGUUCUUCUGGCAGUCCAUCGUAUGUUCAAUAUUCUUCGCCAACAUCAUGAUUCAAAGGCGUCAGCUUAGUUAAAUCAGAAUACACUUCAGAUUAAACUAUUUUGUAUUUCUCAGAAUUGUAUGUCUCUAAACGGCUGAAACCAAUGGUACCUUAAUACUCCUGGUGCCUUGAUAUUCUCAUAUUUUUUAAUCAGUUUCUUAGGGACAUCCCUACUCCAAGUUGUAGCACCCUUUAUCUCAUCCCUUCUUGGUUUGAAAAUGUCAUUCCUGCAGUCCCAGGUGUUUACUGCCAGCACCAGAGUUGUCUUUACUGAUUAUUUUCUUGGCAGCCCAGGGAGGUCCUUGGGCUAUCGAGGUUUUGGAAAUCUUUUCUGAUGUCUCAGAGUUCUCAGGGCUCCAACCGGCAGGGAGACCCUCUAGUUAUUGUCUGGACCCUCCUUCCCUUCUCAUUCAGAUAUUUUGAAAGAGUUUCUACACUUUUGAUUGAAAGAGAGAGAGAAGCUCAGCCGUGUUUUUGUUCUUAAUGUGGUGGUCCUUCAUAUUUGCUUAAGGAAUCUACAGAAUGUUUUGAAAGACAAAAAAAAGAAAGAAAGAAAGAAAGAAACAAUCUGUCCAUCAAGAGGAGAACGGGCGAAUGAGUUUUGGUGGACUAUUUAUCGGAAUAAAAUUCAACAGUAAAUUAUAGAGCUGCUUCUAUCAACACGGGUCAAUCAAUCUCAAAAACAAUGUUGAACAAAAAAAGUUUCAGAAGCAUUUUUAUAAAAUGAAAACUGGUGGAUAUUCUUCUGGAUUUUAAACGCCAAAUUCAGAAUAAUGAUCAAGUCUGAAGAAUUAGAGAGGAAAAUGGGAACUUCACGGGUUAGAGAGGAUUUUCAAAAUAUCUGAUACAGCCAUGACAAGUCAUGAGGUAGUUGUGGGAAAAAGGCAAAUUACUGUAAAGUUACCUGUGGACUAGGACUGGAAAACUCUUUGGAAUCUUAGACAGCUCCAGGGACUGACUACCUCCUCUACUUGUCUCUCAUGGCCUCUGGACUCUAACCAAGGAGAAAUUAUUGUAACUGAGUUGCUUAAUCACCAUGAGAGGGAGUGCUGUUAUUGCAAAGACCAUGUUUGGGGCAUGGAUCCCCGGGUCAGGGCAGCAAGAUGUUUUGGCACAAAGCAGUGUCUCUCAGAAGGAUACAGCAGGUGCCGGAGGGCAAGCAGAGGCUAAGGCACGGUCCUCAACCUACUGCUGAUUGCCCCCUUGGCAUUGUGGGUACAGCUCCUUCACAGCGUGUACCCGGAGGCAUUGCGAUGAUUAAGUUCUGCCUCUCUUACCAGCUGUUAGCUCUUCAAGCACUCAUUCUCCACCAUAUACAAGAUGCUUGGGAACCCUGGUGGUGUAGUGGUUAAGAGCUACCGCUGCUAACCAAAAGGUCAGCAGUUCGAAUCCACCAGGUGCUCCUUGGUAAACCCUAUGGGGCAGUUCUACUGUGUCCUGUAGGGUUGCUAUGAGUUGGAAUUGACCCAGUGGGUCUGUCUUUUUUGUUGUUGUUGUUGCUAGGUGCCUAAUAAAUGUCUAUGGAAUGUCUCUUUCCAACAAAAUUAGUUUAAAAAAAAAAAGUGUAAUUAUACCUUGGUGUGUGAAAUAUGGAGUCCCUGAGUGGUGCAAAAGGUUAAUGCACUCGGCUGCUAACAGAAAAAUUGGAGACUUAGGGCACCUCAGAAGAAAGACUGGAUAGUCCACUUCUGAAAAAUGAGACACUGAAAACCCUACAGAGCACAGUUCUGCUGUGACACACGCAAGGUCACCAUGAGUCACAAUUGGCUCGACAGCAACUGGCACAUAAAUAUGUGACCAAAUAGGACCUUUUUAAUAACUAAUAGAUGUGUUACACAUUAGAACAAUAGUUCUCAAACUUUAAUGUGCAUCAGAAUCACCCUGGAGGAAUAAUUUAAUAAUAACACAAUGUGUGUGUCUGUGUUUUAAACAAAAACACAGAUUGCUGGGUCCUACCCUAGAGUUUCUGAUUCAAUAGGUCUAGGGGCCCAUAAUUUGCAUUUCUAACAAGUUCCCAGGUGAUGCUGAUGCUGCUGGUCCAGAGACCACACAUUGAGAAUCGGAGCAUUAGAAAAACCCUGAAAAUAAACGUGGCAACACCUAAUGAAAAUAACAAAAUCACAUAUCCCUUUCCCCCCAAAUAUAGUACCUUUGGGAAUGCCCUCUAAAGAAAACAAACAAAAAAUGAAAGGAAAUUAUUUAACUAUAACACUAACACGUUUUGCUACUAUGUCCAGUUGCAAAUAGAAUAUCAGCCCUUGCUUCCUAAUAUGUAAAAAUGGGGAUAAUAAAACCAAAAAACCCAAACAUGUUGCCGUCAAGUCAAUUCUGACUCAUAGCGACCCUAUAGGACAGAGUAGAACUGCCCCAUAGAGUUUCCAAGGAGAGGCUGGUGGAUUUAAACUACUGACCUUUUGGUUAGCAGCCAUAGCACUUAACCACUGCACCACCAGGGUUUCCAAUCUAGAGGUACCUCACAGGUUGUUGGGAGAAUUGAAUUAAUUAACGUAAGUAUUUGGAACAGUUUCAGGUUUAACACAUGUCAGCUCCUAUUAGAGUUUUGGUUUAAGAGAUUUAAAAACUAACCACAGAAAAGAGAGAGGUCUGUCUGAGCAGAAGACAUCAAUUUGGGAGUCAUUAAGAUAUAAGAGGUCAACAAGAGAAAGCUCUGAAAAACAACAACAAAAGACACUGAAUAUAUUUUCCCUUACUUGUGAACCUGAAAUUGUAUCUUAGAAGCCAAAAUCCUUCUUGGUUUUGCAUUUGAGAGUUUACUCUUUGAUAGGUAACUUCACAUAAAAAUAUUUGCAUUGACUGAAGCGCAGAUGAGAACUGCAGGGGGCAGAGAGUCCAAAUGAAUGGUGAUGAAACAAUACGGGUAGAGAAAGCGAGACGGCUGGCACAAUGUAGGAUGUGUUACCAAUGUCAUUGAAUUCUGUGUGUGGAAAUUGUGAAGGGAUGUAUGUUUGGUUGUGUAUAUUGCCAUGAAAACAAUAAAAAUAAAUAACAUUUUUGCAUGAAUAGUUCAUAUUUUUAUUUUCUAAAGUGAAAAUAACUUUCAUUGACUUUCUUAGUUAUAAAUAUAUUUGAGCCAAAAUACAUUAAAAAAAAAAACAUAAAAGAAGAAAAGUUCUUGAAAUCCCCCCUCCAGAGGGUUAACUGCCGCCAAAGUUUUUAUUCAUACCCUUUAAGGCCUCUCUGUAUAUAGCGAAGCGUUUAAGCAGAGUAUUAUGGAAGGAAAGGUCAGGAGAUGAUGAUGAACGAUUUACAUUAAAAAAAAAUAAUAAAUAUUAAUAUUUCCAAAGUAAUAUUAUCAAAAGCUUUUUUUUCCCUUCUUUUUGCUGACUUGAUGGGGACAGGAAGGUACGGUUCUUUCUCCCUCUUUGCCCCCACCCACCACAUUUUUAUUCCAUGGUAUCGUUGUUGUCAUUAGGUGUCCUGGAGUCAGUUCUGACUCACAGCAACCCUACGUACGACAGAAUAAACCACUGCCCAGUCCUGCGCCGUCCUCGCAAUCAUUGCUGUGCCUGAGCCCAUCCUCGCAGCCAUUGUGGCAGUCCGUCUCGUUGAGGGUCUUCCUUUCUCUCCAGGACCCUCUACUUUUAGUAUUGCAUUCGCUACUCUUUCCUACAUUGGAAGCAGUGGGGAUAGGAAACUUUGUGAGCUUGAACACAAAAGACAACAGCCAGGCCUUGAAUUCCAUCCUGCAAUUAUUGUGAUAUCAUGCUAAUGGUUUAAAAUUUUUAUUUAAAAGACCUGUAAUAAUGGAGAUGAUUCCAGCCACCAUUAUAAAGCAGUAUAUUGAGAUAUUCUAGAAAAACAGUAAAAAGCAGUGCUUUGUCUACUGCAUUUUCCCUGAUGCCCUCUUCUUUCCCACUCCGUCUCCUGUACCUUUCUUCUCAACUCUGAACCACCACUGCAUUCUCUUUCUAGAUGUUUUAUAACUCAGAUUGCGAAAUGUUAUUUUUUUCCUUCUGCCCUGAAAACAGCUUCUGAGAGUAAGAUAGGUGACUGGGCUGGAGU